AAUUGAUCCUUGAUAAAGGAUUUAUAUUGUUCUCAUUCCAAUUACGGGGCCUCAUAAGAGUCCCGCAUUGUUAUUUUUCGUCACUACCUCCCCGUACCGGGAUUGGGUAAUUUGCGUGCCUGCUGCCUUCCUUGGAUGUGGUAGCCGUUUCUCAGGCUCCCUCUCCGGAAUCGAACCCUGAUUCCCCGUUACCCGUCACAACCAUGGUAGGCAUUGAACCUACCAUCGACAGUUGAUAAGGCAGACACUUGAAAGAUUUGUCGCUGGCUCAAGGCCAUGCGAUCAGCUAGUAUAUUCAGAGUCACCAACCAUAGAGCCGAAGCCCAUUGGUCUUGGUCUAAUAUAUGCCGAGUUUCCCUUUAGAGUCACCCGUUUAGUGCAUGUAUUAGCUCUAGAAUUACCACAGUUAUCCAUGUAAGAUAGUCAACAUCUAAUAAAUCGUAACUGAUUUAAUGAGCCAUUCGCGGUUUCACUUUAUUUUUGUUUGUACUUAGACAUGCAUGGCUUAAUCUUUGAGACAAGCAUAUGACUA
This 532-nucleotide ribosomal RNA is filed under the name uncultured eukaryote. RNAcentral describes it as "partial 18S rRNA". The record is from RNAcentral.